Molecule: long non-coding RNA, 565 nt
Organism: Cuculus canorus (common cuckoo)
Lineage: Eukaryota; Metazoa; Chordata; Aves; Cuculiformes; Cuculidae
Exons: 3
Source: RefSeq, a predicted model, not a curated record
GUUUGAGGUACAAUUUGGUUUUGGAAUCACCAUCAAAUUUGGCAGGUGUAUUCAUAAACUUCUUGAACUUACUACACCUCUGUGUUUGAAUUUCAAAGGGCUUCCUGUUAAAUUAUAAGAAAAGAACCGUGGCCUCUUUAGGCACAGUUACUGAAUGUGUCUGUUAUAUGCUACUGAAAAUCCAAUUACUGGAAUAUUUAUAAACCCUGCCAUUCACACAGCGCUUGUGAAAAGUGCACAGCAGUUCAGAAUACCUCACCAAAAGCUGGCAUCCCUCAUAAAGAGAAAUCAUUUGACUUCUGAGAUCGACUAGGUUGCCACUGACAGCCCAGCAGCAGGAGAUGACACUAAAUCCAACGGUAUUAAACCCAAGUUGCUCACCUUGUUUCUGCCAGUGCUAAUCCUCAGAAUUCCAUCUUGCCAGGUUUUUGAUUUUUUCAGUUUUUGGUGAGUGUAUAACACCUGUUUGAAAUGUGUAAAACAUUAAAAUAAGAAGUAAGAACGUGUUUAAAUAAUACAGCAGCUACUGCGUUUUAAUUUAUUUCUACUUAAUUCUACGUAGUGA